Molecule: ribosomal RNA, 720 nt
Filed under: uncultured anaerobic ammonium-oxidizing bacterium
Lineage: Bacteria
Description: bacterial SSU rRNA
Rfam family: Bacterial small subunit ribosomal RNA
Source: RNAcentral
GAGCACGUAGGUGGGUUUGUAAGUCAGAUGUGAAAGCCUCCUGUUCAACGGGAGAAUUGCAUCUGAAACUGCUGAUCUUGAGUGUAGGAGGGGAGAAUGGAACUUCUGGUGGAGCGGUGAAAUGCGUAGAUAUCAGAAGGAACGCCGGCGGCGAAAGCGAUUCUCUGGCCUAUUACUGACACUCAGUGUGCGAAAGCUAGGGGAGCAAACGGGAUUAGAUACCCCGGUAGUCCUAGCCGUAAACGAUGAGCACUAAGUAGAGGGAAUUACCGAUAUUCUCUCUGCCGUAGCUAACGCAUUAAGUGCCCCGCCUGGGGAGUACGGCCGCAAGGCUAAAACUCAAAAGAAUUGACGGGGGCUCGCACAAGCGGUGGAGCAUGUGGCUUAAUUCGAUGCAACGCGAAAAACCUUACCGGGGCUUGACAUGAUAGAAGUAGGAACCCGAAAGGGUAACGAACGGUAUCCAGUCCGUAGCUAUUACAGGUGUUGCAUGGCUGUCGUCAGCUCGUGUCGUGAGACGUUGGGUUAAGUCCCCUAACGAGCGAAACCCUUGUUUUUAGUUGCCAGCGGGUUAUGCCGAGCACUCUAGAAAGACUGCCGUCGUCAAGACGGAGGAAGGUGGGGAUGACGUCAAGUCAUCAUGGCCCUUAUGCCCCGGGCUGCACACGUGCUACAAUGGUCGGUACAAACGGAAGCGAAACCGAGAGGUGAAGCGAAUCC